UAAGUUAAUAAGGGCGCACGGUGGAUGCCUUGGCACUAGGAGCCGACGAAGGACGUGACAAACGACGAUAUGCCUUGGGUAGCUGUAAGUAAGCGAUGAUCCAGGGAUUUCCGAAUGGGGGAACCCAACAGGUAAUACCUGUUACCUACAUCUGUUAAGGAUGUGAGGAGGAAGACGCAGUGAACUGAAACAUCUAAGUAGCUGCAGGAAGAGAAAGCAAAAGCGAUUGCCUUAGUAGCGGCGAGCGAAACGGCAGAAGGGCAAACCGAAGAGUUUACUCUUCGGGGUUGUAGGACUGCAAUGUGGACUCAAAGAUUAUAGAAGAAUGAUUUGGGAAGAUCAGCCAAAGAGAGUAAUAGCCUCGUAUUUAAAAUAGUCUUUGUACUUAGCAGUAUCCUGAGUACGGCGGGACACGUGAAAUCCCGUCGGAAUCUGGGAGGACCAUCUCCCAACCCUAAAUACUCCCUAGUGACCGAUAGUGAACCAGUACCGUGAGGGAAAGGUGAAAAGCACCCCGGGGGGGGAGUGAAAUAGAACCUGAAACCGUGUGCCUACAACAAGUUCGAGCCCGUUAAUGGGUGAGAGCGUGCCUUUUGUAGAAUGAACCGGCGAGUUACGUUAUGAUGCGAGGUUAAGUUGAAGAGACGGAGCCGUAGGGAAACCGAGUCUGAAUAGGGCGCCUUAGUAUCAUGACGUAGACCCGAAACCAUGUGACCUACCCAUGAGCAGGUUGAAGGUGCGGUAAGACGCACUGGAGGACCGAACCAGGGCACGUUGAAAAGUGCUUGGAUGACUUGUGGGUAGCGGAGAAAUUCCAAACGAACUUGGAGAUAGCUGGUUCUCUCCGAAAUAGCUUUAGGGCUAGCGUCGACAUUAGAGAUUCUUGGAGGUAGAGCACUGUUUGGGUGAGGGGUCCAUCCCGGAUUACCAAUCUCAGAUAAACUCCGAAUGCCAAUGAAUUAUGGUCGGCAGUCAGACUGCGAGUGCUAAGAUCCGUAGUCGAAAGGGAAACAGCCCAGACCACCAGCUAAGGUCCCAAAAUAAUUGUUAAGUGGAAAAGGAUGUGGGGUUGCACAGACAACUAGGAUGUUAGCUUAGAAGCAGCUAUUCAUUCAAAGAGUGCGUAAUAGCUCACUAGUCGAGUGACCCUGCGCCGAAAAUGUACCGGGGCUAAAACAAUUUACCGAAGCUGUGGAUACCUUUAUAGGUAUGGUAGGAGAGCGUUCUAUGUGUGAUGAAGGUAUACCGUGAGGAGUGCUGGAACGCAUAGAAGUGAGAAUGCCGGUAUGAGUAGCGAAAGACAGGUGAGAAUCCUGUCCACCGUAAGACUAAGGUUUCCAGGGGAAGGCUCGUCCGCCCUGGGUUAGUCGGGACCUAAGGAGAGACCGAAAGGUGUAUCCGAUGGACAACAGGUUGAUAUUCCUGUACUAGAGUAUGUAGUGAUGGAGGGACGCAGUAGGCUAACUAAAGCAGACGAUUGGAAGAGUCUGUCUAAGCAGUGAGGUGUGAAUUGAGUCAAAUGCUUAAUUCUAUAACAUUGAGCUGUGAUGGGGAGCGAAGUUUAGUAGCGAAGUUAGUGACGUCACACUGCCAAGAAAAGCUUCUAGCGUUUAAACAUACUCUACCCGUACCGCAAACCGACACAGGUAGUCGAGGCGAGUAGCCUCAGGUGAGCGAGAGAACUCUCGUUAAGGAACUCGGCAAAAUGACCCCGUAACUUCGGGAGAAGGGGUGCUGACUUAAAGUCAGCCGCAGUGAAUAGGCCCAAGCAACUGUUUAUCAAAAACACAGCUCUCUGCUAAAUCGUAAGAUGAUGUAUAGGGGGUGACGCCUGCCCGGUGCUGGAAGGUUAAGAGGAGUGCUUAGCGUAAGCGAAGGUAUGAAUUGAAGCCCCAGUAAACGGCGGCCGUAACUAUAACGGUCCUAAGGUAGCGAAAUUCCUUGUCGGGUAAGUUCCGACCCGCACGAAAGGCGUAAUGAUUUGGGCACUGUCUCAACGAGAGACUCGGUGAAAUUUUAGUACCUGUGAAGAUGCAGGUUACCCGCGACAGGACGGAAAGACCCCAUGGAGCUUUACUGCAGUUUGAUAUUGAGUGUCUGUACCACAUGUACAGGAUAGGUAGGAGUCUAAGAGAUCGGGACGCCAGUUUCGAAGGAGACGCUGUUGGGAUACUACCCUUGUGUUAUGGCCACUCUAACCCAGAUAGGUGAUCCCUAUCGGAGACAGUGUCUGACGGGCAGUUUGACUGGGGCGGUCGCCUCCUAAAAGGUAACGGAGGCGCCCAAAGGUUCCCUCAGAAUGGUUGGAAAUCAUUCGCAGAGUGUAAAGGUAUAAGGGAGCUUGACUGCGAGAGCUACAACUCGAGCAGGGACGAAAGUCGGGCUUAGUGAUCCGGUGGUUCCGUAUGGAAGGGCCAUCGCUCAACGGAUAAAAGCUACCCUGGGGAUAACAGGCUUAUCUCCCCCAAGAGUUCACAUCGACGGGGAGGUUUGGCACCUCGAUGUCGGCUCGUCGCAUCCUGGGGCUGUAGUCGGUCCCAAGGGUUGGGCUGUUCGCCCAUUAAAGCGGCACGCGAGCUGGGUUCAGAACGUCGUGAGACAGUUCGGUCCCUAUCCGUCGCGGGCGUAGGAAAUUUGAGAGGAUCUGCUCCUAGUACGAGAGGACCAGAGUGGACUUACCGCUGGUGUACCAGUUGUCUUGCCAAAGGCAUCGCUGGGUAGCUAUGUAGGGAAGGGAUAAACGCUGAAAGCAUCUAAGUGUGAAACCCACCUCAAGAUGAGAUUUCCCAUGAUUAUAUAUCAGUAAGAGCCCUGAGAGAUGAUCAGGUAGAUAGGUUAGAAGUGGAAGUGUGGCGACACAUGUAGCGGACUAAUACUAAUAGCUCGAGGACUUAUCCA
This 2898-nucleotide ribosomal RNA is filed under the name Streptococcus pneumoniae 6963-05. RNAcentral describes it as "bacterial LSU rRNA". It matches the Rfam family "Bacterial large subunit ribosomal RNA". Lineage: Bacteria; Bacillati; Bacillota; Bacilli; Lactobacillales; Streptococcaceae. The record is from RNAcentral.